Molecule: unclassified non-coding RNA, 345 nt
Filed under: soil metagenome
Description: partial contains 5.8S ribosomal RNA, internal transcribed spacer 2, and large subunit ribosomal RNA
Rfam family: 5.8S ribosomal RNA (bases 1-120)
Source: RNAcentral
GAUGAAGAACGCAGCGAAAUGCGAUACGUAAUGUGAAUUGCAGAAUUCAGUGAAUCAUCGAAUCUUUGAACGCACAUUGCGCCCCCUGGUAUUCCGGGGGGCAUGCCUGUCCGAGCGUCAUUGCUGCCCUCAAGCACGGCUUGUGUGUUGGGCCUCCGUCCUCCUCCCGGGGGACGGGCCCGAAAGGCAGCGGCGGCACCGCGUCCGGUCCUCGAGCGUAUGGGGCUUCGUCACCCGCUCUUGUAGGCCCGGCCGGCGCUUGCCGACACAUCAAUCUUUUUUCCAGGUUGACCUCGGAUCAGGUAGGGAUACCCGCUGAACUUAAGCAUAUCAAUAAGCGGAGGA